Molecule: ribosomal RNA, 879 nt
Filed under: Candidatus Uzinura diaspidicola
Lineage: Bacteria; Pseudomonadati; Bacteroidota; Flavobacteriia; Flavobacteriales
Description: bacterial SSU rRNA
Rfam family: Bacterial small subunit ribosomal RNA
Source: RNAcentral
GGAGGAAACUCUGAACCAGCUAUGCCGCGUGUAGGAUGACAGUCUUUUAGAUUGUAAACUACUUUUACAUAGAAAUAAAAGUUACUACGGGAUGGUAACCUGAAGGUACUAUGAGAAUAAGUGUCGGCUAAUUUCGUGCCAGCAGCCGCGGUAAAACGAAAGACACAAGCGUUAUCCGGAUUUAUUGGGUUUAAAGGGUGUGUAGGUUGUUUAUUAAGUCAGUAGUGAAAGCUUACAGCUUAACUGUAAAAUUGCUAUUGAUACUGAUAAUCUUGAGUCAGAUUGGAGCGUCUGGAAUGUAUGGUGUAGCGGUGAAAUGCAUAGAUAUCAUACAGAACACCAAUAGCGAAGGCAGGAUGCUAAAUCUUCACUGACACUGAGGCACGAAAGCGUGGGUAGCAAACAGGAUUAGAUACCCUGGUAGUCCACGCCCUAAACUAUGAUCACUAGCUAUUGGAAAAAUUAUAUUCAGUGGCCAAGCUAAAGCGAUAAGUGAUCCACCUGGGAAGUACGAUCGCAAGAUUGAAACUCAAAGGAAUUGACGGGGUUUCGCACAAGCGGUGGAGCAUGUGGUUUAAUUCGAUGAUACGCGAGGAACCUUACCAAGGUUUAAAUGUAUUACGAAUAAGCUGGAAACAACUUAGUCUAUAAGACGUAAUACAAGGUGCUGCAUGGUUGUCUUCAGUUCGUGCUGUGAAGUGUUUGGUUAAGUCCUAUAACGAGCGCAACCCUUAUUGUUAGUUGCCAUCGGGUAAAGCCGGGGACUCUAACAAAACUGCCGGUGUAAAUCGAGAGGAAGGUGGGGAUAAUGUCAAAUCAUCAUGGCCUUUAUGCCUUGGGCUACACACGUGCUACAAUGGCUGGUACAAAGGGCAGCCA